UGGGGAAUAUUGCACAAUGGGCGGAAGCCUGAUGCAGCGACGCCGCGUGGGGGAUGAAGGCCUUCGGGUUGUAAACUCCUUUCGACAGGGACGAAGCGUAAGUGACGGUACCUGUAUAAGAAGCACCGGCUAACUACGUGCCAGCAGCCGCGGUAAUACGUAGGGUGCGAGCGUUGUCCGGAAUUACUGGGCGUAAAGAGCUCGUAGGUGGUUUGUCGCGUCGUCUGUGAAAUUCCGGGGCUUAACUCCGGGCGUGCAGGCGAUACGGGCUGACUUGAGUGCUGUAGGGGAGACUGGAAUUCCUGGUGUAGCGGUGAAAUGCGCAGAUAUCGGGAGGAACACCGAUGGCGAAGGCAGGUCUCUGGGCAGUAACUGACGCUGAGGAGCGAAAGCAUGGGUAGCGAACAGGAUUAGAUACCCUGGUAGUCCAUGCCGUAAACGGUGGGCGCUAGGUGUAGGGGGCUUCCACGUCUUCUGUGCCGUAGCUAACGCAUUAAGCGCCCCGCCUGGGGAGUACGGCCGCAAGGCUA
RNAcentral lists this ribosomal RNA (530 nucleotides) under uncultured bacterium. Its description in RNAcentral is "bacterial SSU rRNA". It matches the Rfam family "Bacterial small subunit ribosomal RNA", at positions 355 to 896 of the family's 1533-position model. The record is from RNAcentral.